Molecule: long non-coding RNA, 223 nt
Filed under: Lathyrus oleraceus (garden pea)
Lineage: Eukaryota; Viridiplantae; Streptophyta; Magnoliopsida; Fabales; Fabaceae
Description: Pisum sativum (pea) long non-coding RNA (PSAT_LNC003729)
Source: RNAcentral
GAAAAUAUGUGUUUGUUAAGGUAGGGAAAUGAAAUUUAGGUAACAAAAGUGAAAGAGGAAAGUGCAUAUAAUAGAAUGAAAAUUGUGCCAUGUCUUUUGAAGUCACUUAUCUGAUCAUUGAGAGAUGGAAACAAACAUUUUCUUCGUGUCUUUUUUAUAAGAACAUAUCUUCCCGUUUUAUGUUUGUUAAAAAUUUUGUUAGACUCAAUUUCACGUAUUUUUU